GGGGAUGUACGGGGGCUGGUGCCCCCCGCGGUCUUCAAAACCGUUUGUGGGGCGGUGCGAGCCGUCCCAGGUGGGUUCGAUUCCCAUCCAUCCCCGCCA
Molecule: transfer RNA, 99 nt
Filed under: Candidatus Dormiibacterota bacterium
Lineage: Bacteria; Bacillati; Candidatus Dormiibacterota
Also listed under: 2 other names
Description: candidate division AD3 bacterium tRNA-Sec
Rfam family: Selenocysteine transfer RNA
Source: RNAcentral